Molecule: non-coding RNA, 455 nt
Organism: Drosophila melanogaster (fruit fly)
Lineage: Eukaryota; Metazoa; Arthropoda; Insecta; Diptera; Drosophilidae
Source: Ensembl
UCCAAUCAUGAUCGAACCUAAUUUCAAAAUUUCCUGAUUUUCCCACUCAAAGUUAGAUUCCUACAUUCCCUAUACAGCAAUUUCCUGAGGUAACUCUGAGCUCAAAUUUUAGAGCAGGACGCAACAUACGUCAUCGGCAUGCCUGGAAGCAUGAAAAAAUCCUUGAACAUAUCGACGGACCAGGAGUGCAGUAGCCGGAGCAUAUGGCUGCAUGUCUGGCAAAGUGUGGCACAAAUAACUGGAAUAACUGCUGCCAAGUCAAUGCCACAUUAUCGGAAACCGAAGUUGCUGAAACGAGCAGUGGACUGCGGGGGUUGAGGGUGAGUGGAGGAGACACGACAACGGUGGAGCUACCAUUAGAAGAGGCCUUGUACAAGGACGUGGGACAGGGGCCGGAGAUUGGGGAGAAGGAGCCGAAUGAGGAGGAAGUGGCUUCAGUUGUCUCGCAAUUGCUU